Homo sapiens (human) is the source of this 1134-nucleotide long non-coding RNA. Ensembl annotates it as long intergenic non-protein coding RNA 1532. NCBI's taxonomy places the organism in Eukaryota, Metazoa, Chordata, Mammalia, Primates, Hominidae. The record is from Ensembl.
AUCCUCAGGAAGCCCUGAGCGCUGAGAGGCACUGUUACAGAACCGAACUGGGGUCCACUCGCUAGGCCUACCUAGGUGCCUGGAAUUUCCCUUCGAGGAACGCAGGAGUUUUCUUUAUUUUCAUGCUUGGGAAGGCUCAUUAGGCCCCUAAGAGAGGGUCCCUUCCCCAUCUCAGGACUAAAAUGCAAUGAAGAUGUUGCUCAGAGGCAGCUGGAGAGGGAUGGGUCUGUGGAGGAUGCCCCGCAGAGUGAAGUCGAGAUGAUGCAGCCACCAGGGCCGGAGGGCUGGUCUGGAACUCCUGGGUGCAAGCGAUCCUUCCACCUCGGCCUCCCAAAGUGCUGGGAUUAGAGGCAUAAGCCACCGCGCCCAGCCAGGAAUGGAUUUUCUCACAGUUCUCGAUGGCGGAAGUCUGAGAUCAAGCUAAAGACUCUUGAGAAACAGCAGGUGCAAAAAGAUCACAGUGACCUCCAUGCUGUACCUUGAGAUGAAAUUCCAAUGCGAAAGAUGCCCUCUCCACCCUAGAAGGGAAAGCAACAUCCUUAUCUUUGGGAGUGAAAAGUCCAAACUGAGAGCAUACUUGCCUUUCUCUGGAGGGGCUCUGCCAGCAUGAAUUCCUUUACGGGUGGAAGCCUCACAGUCCAGUCUACCAGUGAGGUCCACAUGGGAUUGGCUGGAGGGAGCUACGAAGUCAAGCGGCGUCAGGUACAGAGAAACAAAUCCCACAUCCAAGGGCCAGGAGGCGGUAGAGCAAACCACGCACAGCCGGGUGACUUAAGGGCAAGGAAGUCUUCCUGCAGGAGGUGAAUUUGGCACAAGGGAUACGUUUUUAGGCCCUGAGUGGAGGAUCUGGGUUUCAAACUGGACUUUUGAAAAACACACUCUUAUUGUAGAAGGGCCUGCGGGUUUGUUUUAAUCACUUCUCAAAGCUACGCUAGGCAUUCGCAGCUCAGGAUCCCCAGUUUAGCCUAAUAAAAAAAAGUAAUUACAUCAUAUUACAGAUAAUUUGAUUGUGUCUGAGACGAUAAUUGAGUUAAAACGCUUAUUGUAACAGACACAUCAGAUUGGCAAGGAGGAAGCUCGGCUUAAAUACAAACAGUGUUGAGAGUGGAAUUAAAGGAUUGCCAUUGCAGUUAA